Long non-coding RNA from Cercocebus atys (sooty mangabey), 367 nucleotides. RefSeq lists it as uncharacterized. Lineage: Eukaryota; Metazoa; Chordata; Mammalia; Primates; Cercopithecidae. The record is from RefSeq and is a predicted model, not a curated record. The transcript is spliced from 3 exons.
GAGAAAAAGUCUACUCUGAGCUCAGGCAGUACUGACUGGUGUAAACUCCCUGGUCUUUAUGUGGAGGGACCGUAAAACAAAAAGUAGAAGGACAAACGAGGAAAGUCGGUGUAACGACAAUGAAGAAACUGCAUGUGUACAGGAAGUGUAGAGAAAGACUUCAAAUUCCAGCGGGCAAUGGAAUUGCAAACCUCUGCCACAGUACCGACUGCUUUCUACUUGACUCUGUUAUUUCUGGAUCUGCCUACCAGAGUCCAUAUUCCUCACUGAAGAUGGGGUUUAGGUAUUAUACAUCUUUGCUACUUUUUAAAAAACAAAGAACUUUGUACUUAAUAAUAUGCAUUUUGUAAAUAAACUAAUAAAUAUA